Molecule: ribosomal RNA, 465 nt
Filed under: Capnocytophaga gingivalis
Lineage: Bacteria; Pseudomonadati; Bacteroidota; Flavobacteriia; Flavobacteriales; Flavobacteriaceae
Description: bacterial SSU rRNA
Rfam family: Bacterial small subunit ribosomal RNA
Source: RNAcentral
GAUGAACGCUAGCGGCAGGCCUAACACAUGCAAGUCGAGGGAGAAGCCCUUUCGGGGGUAGAAACCGGCGCACGGGUGCGUAACGCGUAUGCAACCUACCUUUCACAGGGGGAUAGCCCGAAGAAAUUUGGAUUAAUACCCCAUAAUAUUAUUGGAUGGCAUCAUUUGAUAAUUAAAACUGCGGUGGUGAAAGAUGGGCAUGCGUCCUAUUAGCUAGUUGGAGUGGUAACGGCACCCCAAGGCUACGAUAGGUAGGGGUCCUGAGAGGGAGAUCCCCCACACUGGUACUGAGACAGGGACCAGACUCCUACGGGAGGCAGCAGUGAGGAAUAUUGGUCAAUGGUCGGAAGACUGAACCAGCCAUGCCGCGUGCAGGAAGAAUGCCUUAUGGGUUGUAAACUGCUUUUAUAUGGGAAGAAUAAGGCGUACGUGUACGUUGAUGACGGUACCAUAUGAAUAAAGCAU